Molecule: non-coding RNA, 72 nt
Organism: Thelonectria olida
Lineage: Eukaryota; Fungi; Ascomycota; Sordariomycetes; Hypocreales; Nectriaceae
Source: the annotation of a GenBank genome assembly
GCCGUUGUCGUAUAGGGGUUAGUACACUUCGUUGUGGCCGAAGAAACGUCAGUUCGAGUCUGAUCAACGGCA